UACAAUUUCUGGAUCUGGAACUAGAAGGACAGACUGUGUGUUUGGGGAUUCUGAGACUCAGAUUGUUUUGCUGCAGCUAAUCUUGGAGAUAGCAUUGGCUGCCCACAUGAUCGAGGAAGGCCGGUAGAAUAAGAAUCCAAUCCCAUAAAACAAAUGUUUGUCGAGGCUUAUAUAAUAGGGCUUGCAGGUCUGUAGCAGUUGGUGACGGGUGGCUUUGUCGGAAGUUUACAGAUAAAGACUAUUAUAUGUGAUUUGGUGUCACCAAACUCAGGAAGAAGGUGGACUUUUUGGUGCGGACACUCGAUGCCCGUGAUUUCUUGUUUCUGCUCGAUCAUUUCAAUUGUCUGUGGCUGUGUACUGUUGUGGAACAUUUGAACUGUCAACAGUAAGGAGUUGGAACCUGGUAAGUGGCAGUAUUUGCAUUAUGGAUGUAAUUAUACGUGUAGGCAAUGGCUAAAACAAAAAAUUUCUCUUGUGGUUUAAUUAGUCACUAGAGACAGUGGCUGACAUGAAACCAUGUGAUCCAUAUUGGAUGCGUCUUCGUACAGGAAGCCACGAUGUUUUGAGGGUUAAAGGAUGCAGCUUUUGGCAUCUUUCUUUGGUCUUUUUCUUUGAUGAUUAGCUACUUUUCGCUGGACUUUUUGGAGUGUAAGAAAU
Molecule: long non-coding RNA, 657 nt
Organism: Asparagus officinalis (garden asparagus)
Lineage: Eukaryota; Viridiplantae; Streptophyta; Magnoliopsida; Asparagales; Asparagaceae
Exons: 3
Source: RefSeq, a predicted model, not a curated record